Molecule: long non-coding RNA, 190 nt
Organism: Pistacia vera
Lineage: Eukaryota; Viridiplantae; Streptophyta; Magnoliopsida; Sapindales; Anacardiaceae
Exons: 3
Source: RefSeq, a predicted model, not a curated record
AUUGGGAUUAUGUUUCAUCGCUAUGGCAUUUUUGAUGCCUUUACUUUAGGUUGAUUUGAAUGACACUAAUGACAUUCACAUCGUAUUUGAUGAGGUAGAUGAAGUGAACUUCAAUAAAAACUUAUUGAAGUGCAGGGGAGCUGUUCAUACUGUGCAAAAGGUGGUUUAUUCCAUGGCAAAGGCGUGUAUG